RNAcentral lists this ribosomal RNA (447 nucleotides) under uncultured bacterium. RNAcentral describes it as "partial 16S ribosomal RNA". It matches the Rfam family "Bacterial small subunit ribosomal RNA", at positions 29 to 523 of the family's 1533-position model. The record is from RNAcentral.
AACGAACGCUGGCGGCAGGCUUAACACAUGCAAGUCGAACGCAUCGCAAGAUGAGUGGCAGACGGGUGAGUAAUGCGUGGGAACAUACCCUUUUCUACGGAAUAGCUCUGGGAAACUGGAAUUAAUACCGUAUACGCCCUUCGGGGGAAAGACUUAUCGGGGAAGGAUUGGCCCGCGUUGGAUUAGCUAGUUGGUGGGGUAAAGGCCUACCAAGUCGACGAUCCAUAGCUGGUCUGAGAGGAUGAUCAGCCACAUUGGGACUGAGACACGGCCCAAACUCCUACGGGAGGCAGCAGUGGGGAAUAUUGGAAAAUGGGCGCAAGCCUGAUCCAGCCAUGCCGCGUGAGUGAUGAAGGCCUUAGGGCUGUAAAGCUCUUUCACCGAUGAAGAUAAUGACGGUAGUCGGAGAAGAAGCCCCGGCUAACUUCGUGCCAGCCGCCGCCGUAA